CGGAGGAAAAGAAACCAACUUGGGAUUACCUUAGUAACGGCGAGUGAAGCGGUAAAAGCUCAAAUUUGAAAUCUGGUACUUUCAGUGCCCGAGUUGUAAUUUGUAGAAUUUGUCUUUGAUUAGGUCCUUGUCUAUGUUCCUUGGAACAGGACGUCAUAGAGGGUGAGAAUCCCGUUUGGCGAGGAUACCUUUUCUCUGUAAGACUUUUUCGAAGAGUCGAGUUGUUUGGGAAUGCAGCUCAAAGUGGGUGGUAAAUUCCAUCUAAAGCUAAAUAUUGGCGAGAGACCGAUAGCGAACAAGUACAGUGAUGGAAAGAUGAAAAGAACUUUGAAAAGAGAGUGAAAAAGUACGUGAAAUUGUUGAAAGGGAAGGGCAUUUGAUCAGACAUGGUGUUUUUUGCAUGCACUCGCCUCUCGUGGGCUUGGGCCUCUCAAAAAUUUCACUGGGCCAACAUCAAUUCUGGCAGCAGGAUAAAUCAUUAAGAAUGUAGCUACUUCGGUAGUGUUAUAGCUUUUUGGAAUACUGUUAGCCGGGAUUGAGGACUGCGCUUCGGCAAGGAUGUUGGCAUAAUGGUUAAAUGCCGCCCGUCUUG
RNAcentral lists this ribosomal RNA (592 nucleotides) under Hanseniaspora uvarum. Its description in RNAcentral is "eukaryotic LSU rRNA". It matches the Rfam family "Eukaryotic large subunit ribosomal RNA", at positions 51 to 656 of the family's 3401-position model. The record is from RNAcentral. Lineage: Eukaryota; Fungi; Ascomycota; Saccharomycetes; Saccharomycodales; Saccharomycodaceae.